GACGAACGCUGGCGGCGUGCUUAACACAUGCAAGUCGAACGAUGAAGCCUAGCUUGCUAGGUGGAUUAGUGGCGAACGGGUGAGUAAUACGUGAGUGACCUACCUUUGACUCUGGGAUAAGCCUGGGAAACUGGGUCUAAUACCGGAUACGACCAAUCUCCGCAUGGGGUGUUGGUGGAAAGCGUUAUGGAGUGGUUUUAGAUGGGCUCACGGCCUAUCAGCUUGUUGGUGAGGUAAUGGCUUACCAAGGCGACGACGGGUAGCCGGCCUGAGAGGGUGACCGGCCACACUGGGACUGAGACACGGCCCAGACUCCUACGGGAGGCAGCAGUGGGGAAUAUUGCACAAUGGGCGCAAGCCUGAUGCAGCGACGCCGCGUGAGGGAUGACGGCCUUCGGGUUGUAAACCUCUGUUAGCAUCGAAGAAGCGAAAGUGACGGUAGGUGCAGAGAAAGCGCCGGCUAACUACGUGCCAGCAGCCGCGGUAAUACGUAGGGCGCGAGCGUUGUCCGGAAUUAUUGGGCGUAAAGAGCUUGUAGGCGGUUGGUCGCGUCUGCUGUGAAAGGCUGGGGCUUAACCCUGGUUUUGCAGUGGGUACGGGCUAACUAGAGUGCAGUAGGGGAGACUGGAAUUCCUGGUGUAGCGGUGGAAUGCGCAGAUAUCAGGAGGAACACCGAUGGCGAAGGCAGGUCUCUGGGCUGUAACUGACGCUGAGAAGCGAAAGCAUGGGGAGCGAACAGGAUUAGAUACCCUGGUAGUCAUGCCGUAAACGUUGGGCACUAGGUGUGGGGGACAUUCCACGUUUUCCGCGCCGUAGCUAACGCAUUAAGUGCCCCGCCUGGGGAGUACGGCCGCAAGGCUAAAACUCAAAGAAAUUGACGGGGGCCCGCACAAGCGGCGGAGCAUGCGGAUUAAUUCGAUGCAACGCGAAGAACCUUACCAAGGCUUGACAUAUACUGGACUGCGUCAGAGAUGGCGUUUCCCUUCGGGGCUGGUAUACAGGUGGUGCAUGGUUGUCGUCAGCUCGUGUCGUGAGAUGUUGGGUUAAGUCCCGCAACGAGCGCAACCCUCGUUCUAUGUUGCCAGCACGUGAUGGUGGGGACUCAUAGGAGACUGCCGGGGUUAACUCGGAGGAAGGUGGGGAUGACGUCAAAUCAUCAUGCCCCUUAUGUCUUGGGCUUCACGCAUGCUACAAUGGCCGGUACAGAGGGUUGCGAUACUGUGAGGUGGAGCUAAUCCCUAAAGGCCGGUCUCAGUUCGGAUUGGGGUCUGCAACUCGACCCCAUGAAGUCGGAGUCGCUAGUAAUCGCAGAUCAGCAACGCUGCGGUGAAUACGUUCCCGGGCCU
Molecule: ribosomal RNA, 1346 nt
Filed under: uncultured bacterium
Lineage: Bacteria
Description: bacterial SSU rRNA
Rfam family: Bacterial small subunit ribosomal RNA
Source: RNAcentral